GACGAACGCUGGCGGCGUGCCUAAUACAUGCAAGUUGAGCGCUGAAGGUUGGUACUUGUACCAACUGGAUGAGCAGCGAACGGGUGAGUAACGCGUGGGGAAUCUGCCUUUGAGCGGGGGACAACAUUUGGAAACGAAUGCUAAUACCGCAUAAAAACUUUAAACACAAGUUUUAAGAUUGAAAGAUGCAAUUGCAUCACUCAAAGAUGAUCCCGCGUUGUAUUAGCUAGUUGGUGAGGUAAAGGCCCACCAAGGCGAUGAUACAUAGCCGACCUGAGAGGGGUAUCGGCCACCUUGGGACUGAGACACGGCCCAAGCUCCCACGGGAGGCAGCAGUAGGGGAUCUUCGGCAAUGGACGGAAGUCUGACCGGGCAACGCCGCGUGAGUUGAGAAGGUUUUCGGGUCGUAAAACUCUGUUUGUAGGGAAGAACGUUGGUUGGAGUGGAAAGCUCAUCAAGUGACGGUAACUACCCAGAAAGGGACGGCUAACUACGUG
RNAcentral lists this ribosomal RNA (497 nucleotides) under uncultured bacterium. Its description in RNAcentral is "partial 16S ribosomal RNA". It matches the Rfam family "Bacterial small subunit ribosomal RNA", at positions 28 to 507 of the family's 1533-position model. The record is from RNAcentral.